Molecule: microRNA, 21 nt
Filed under: Pristionchus pacificus
Lineage: Eukaryota; Metazoa; Nematoda; Chromadorea; Rhabditida; Neodiplogasteridae
Description: ppc-miR-8226-3p
Source: miRBase by way of RNAcentral
UUGACAGCCGUACGACCCCCG